Quercus robur (English oak) is the source of this 1285-nucleotide long non-coding RNA. RefSeq lists it as uncharacterized. Lineage: Eukaryota; Viridiplantae; Streptophyta; Magnoliopsida; Fagales; Fagaceae. The transcript has 2 exons. The record is from RefSeq and is a predicted model, not a curated record.
CCCCCACCUAACCCCACUACCCAUCAUUCUCAUCCACUCAAUUUCACCCACCUCUCUUCUCUCUUUUGGCCGGCUCUCUCUUUUCUUUCUUUCAUUUUCUCUCUUUCCAUUUUAUUGAAACACACACACACACUCACCCGCCGGCCUCCACUCCAAACCACACCAUCUCACCAUCAUUUUUCCGGCAAGAUCACCAGAAAAAUACUUAGGAACUCCAAAGCAUCUUCAUCAUUUUAUUUGAGGUUCUAGCUAAUCUCCCCUUGGAGCUUGGAGAAUUAGGAUUUUGCGGUUGCAAGGAAAGUAGCUUUUUAAUCGGUAUUUUUGGAAAAUAACCAUGUCUUAUAAAUGUUGUUUUUGAGUCAAACACAUUUUGGAAAAUGAUAUAUAUGGAUAUCUACUUUCUUAAAAGUAUUGUGUUAUGACCCUUACUAUAUAUGAAAAAUGCAUCAUAUUUGGUAUUGCAUUUGGGGAAAUGCAUGAAUUGUUGAUAUGGAAAAAUGAGCAUCUUUUAUUUAAUCUUUGAUAAGAAAAUCAUUGAUUUUAUGGUGUAUUGAAAAAUUUAAAGAUGCUUAUCUUGUCUUGUAUUAUUUGAGAAAUUGUUAGAAAAUCUUUUGACAAAAAUGAAGUUUGAAAACCUUACAAACUUUGUAGAAGUUAGAUUAUUUAAGGUUUUCUGAAACUACUUGGAUAUGAACUAUGUGUUUCAAAGUAAGGUAACCUGUGAGUUUAUGUGAUUUUAGCACUAUGCCAUGUGUGAUUUCCCGGUGAUCACCCGAUUUGGUUUCCGUAGUCUUUGUGACAAUGGAAUCAAAUUUAGGUUAGUGCCCUUUCACUUUGGAUGACGCAUUCUUCCCUGUUGUCCAUGGGGGGAAGAGGUUCCUUGAUUGUGUGUGGGUGAGGCUGCUGUCCAUGGGGCCAAGAGACCACAUGCAAGAGAGGUCCUAUUUGACGUGCUCUCUCUGCUGCCCAUGGGGGGAGAGAAGAACCUUGAGGGUAUGGGCGAGGCUGUUGUCUAUGGGGCCAAGAGUCUGCAUACCAGAGAGGAUAAUAUCAUGCCAGUUGUGAAUGGGUGGAUCCCCUGACCGGUUUAUGUGGUAGUAUGGUAUAUUUAUGAUAAAUUACCGUAUGUCAGAUUUUAUGGCUUUGGAAAUUAUAUUGUUAGUGCUCACAGAUUAUAAUAUAUAGUUUCAAGGUAUUUACUUUGACAAACUUUGUGUUUCAUUAUUUAAUCAUUCUUGUCAUAUUAUUAUUAUUAUUAUUGAAAAUGAAACUUGCAUUUCCCCCA